RNAcentral lists this ribosomal RNA (305 nucleotides) under uncultured bacterium. Its description in RNAcentral is "bacterial SSU rRNA". It matches the Rfam family "Bacterial small subunit ribosomal RNA", at positions 335 to 638 of the family's 1533-position model. The record is from RNAcentral.
GGGCCUACGGGACGCAGCAGUGAGGAAUAUUGGUCAAUGGCCGGGAGGCUGAACCAGCCAAGUCGCGUGAGGGAAGACGGCCCUACGGGUUGUAAACCUCUUUUGUCAGGGAGCAAGGGGCGGGUCGAGACCUGCUGUGAGAGUACCUGAAGAAAAAGCAUCGGCUAACUCCGUGCCAGCAGCCGCGGUAAUACGGAGGGUGCGAGCGUUAUCCGGAUUUAUUGUGUUUAAAGGGGGCGCGGGCGGAGGCACAAGUCAGCGGUAAAAUCGCGGGGCGCAACCCCGCUCCGCCGUUGAAACUGUGU